Long non-coding RNA from Cuculus canorus (common cuckoo), 9300 nucleotides. RefSeq lists it as uncharacterized. Lineage: Eukaryota; Metazoa; Chordata; Aves; Cuculiformes; Cuculidae. The transcript has 4 exons. The record is from RefSeq and is a predicted model, not a curated record.
ACUGGCGGGGUGCCUGGGGCAGGGCCAGCGGGAGGCCGCGAGGGUCCCGGCGGCGGAGGGUGGCGUCUUGUGGUUGCCGUGGAAAGGUUCGUGUGGUCCCAUAGACGUCCCGGCAGCGAGUUCCAGGGGCGGCGAGGAGAGGCCUCGGCCGCGUAAAUGUUUGGGCCAAAAGCUAAGGGCAUAAGGUGUGCAGCUUCUCACAGAUGCAACUGUAGUCAUCCGCAGGCCUGCAGAGUAGGCCUGUAGGAACCUUUCACUGAGGGAUCCAAGGGUAAGAGCAAAGCAGGCAGGGCUGGGACCUUCAUGAUGAGGGUACUUUCCCAUGGCACCUGAGCAAGGUAAGCAGGACGGCUGUUGUGACAGCAAACAGGGUCUGCCAGAUAGUUAGACAUGUUGUUAGUGAUGAGGCAAGUGCAAGAUUGUCAGACAGGAAAACUGAGUCAUGAUUAGGGUCUAGCUCAACAGGGAGCUUGACCAGGUGCAAGGUAUCUGCAGGAGUACACUGAGCAUGAAAGCCUCAGCUUAAAAGCUACUCCCAAGCAAAGUGGGGAGCCCCACUAGGGCCUUGCAGCACAGCUUACCCCAACAGCUUGUUUUAAGGACAAACGCUUGCACCCUGUGUCUAACCAGGCCCUAUGGUCUGACAGCCAAAAGCCCAGGCAGGGUGGUGGGAGGAUAUCUUCAGGGCCCUUAGAGUGUACACACACAUACACAUAUGCAGACUCACAAAAUGACCACAUUUACCUUUUUGUGUGAUGAUGCAGGAUUUUUGUCAAGAAUGAAAUGUUCCAAAACUGUGUAAUGGACAUUACUGACCAGUGAAAAUCACUGAGUGAUUUCGCAUACUGAGAAUAAUGCCCAUGCCUUGCCAAUUCCUCCUUUUCUUGCAUGUUACAGACCACUCCUGUCUCCCAAACCCUUAUUGCUGUGAGUCAACCAUCUCAGCCACUGUUGUCACACUGAGUAACACUAACCUCUGCCAGCACAGUCAUGUCUCAGACUUUGAUCUGGCUUGAUCUUUGUCUGUUCUUAAUACUUUCUCAGAAAGAUACAGUAGAAAUUCCACAGAUGUUUACACAGAAUAGAGUGAAUUGCCAUGUCUUGCCUUGUUUUUUUAACCAGAGAAAAUGGAUACUACUAACCUUGCUUGACUGAGUUGUCAACAGGGUUAUCAACCUAUCCUGUGGCAGACCUAGCAGAGAAUACAUGGGAUGUAUCUGUGACUGCAAUAGCAGAAAGAUAUCUUGGGAAAAUAAAUAUGCCUCUCUUCUCCUAAACAGUAUCAUUUUAAGAAAUGAUUAUUUGCUUUUAGUGUAUUAAUUUUUCUCAAGUGGGACAAGCAUUUUGUUUUUAAAUUCAUUGAUGAGGAAGUGUAAAAUGAUCCCUCAAAACAUGUCACAGGUUUUGCUUAGAGUUUAUAAGUCAGUGUACCUUUCCAGUGCUCUGUCAAACUAGCUAGACUUUACAGUCUUCUUGGAAAGUGAACACUUGUAGAUGCCAGUUAACCAGUAAGUAGUAUGUUAUUGCUUUAGAAAUGACAUUAUGGCUUUUCAGGUGGUGAAAACCCACCUAACUUCCUCAUCCAAGAAUUCUCCAUGUCUAGGGUUAUGCUCCCAGUGUCUGGUGUUACUAUUUGGUACUAUUUGUCACUAGUUGGUAUAUCUUUACUUAUUGUAAUAUUACCUCUGAAGAGGUGACAGGGUGACCACGUAAAAACAAGCACUAAUCAAUAUCCAUUGAGAAUUGUAUAGGUAUAGGUCUAAUAUGCUGUUGACCAAAAUAUUCAUAAACUUAGCAGGUACCUAAGUUUUUCAGGAAAAGUUAAAUUUAUAAUCAAGUAACCAUGGGUAGAUUCUACUGAGGUUUUCUGAAAGUGCCUGAGCAUCUUUGGCAGAAGAGUCCAAAGGAAAUUAAGUGACAUUUGUAUACUCAAAACACCACAUCCCAAGCUAUUCACUAUCUCUCCCAAGUUACUCUUAAUACAUAUUGUCCAGCAAGAGCAAAAUGAAUAGUACUGCCAUUGUGAUGAUGAGAUGGCCCUUCUGGGCAAGCUCAUAAGGGAUCCUCCACUCAGAAAAAUAGGUCAAGAGGAUAUUCGGUAGUAAUAUCCACAGAAAGUGACAGAUUUGCCCCAUACACAGAUUUUUAGAUCUCGUCUUUUACAUUUCUCUCCUUAUAAUGUUUCACUUACUUUCUGUAACUUUGCAUAUUUAUGACAAAGCCGGGGCUUUGUCCUUCACAGUCACAUAUGGUGAGGAAUAUGGAUCUCUUGAUACCAUCCCAGAUGUAAGAAGAUGGAUGACAUCCCAGCUGUUAAGGACAUCAUCUUUGAGCCUCACAGCAUGUGCUAAAGGCUAGAUUAACUGUGGCAAAAUGGAGCCUCAUCAGGCUUUGAACGGAUAGUGUGUAACUGGAAGCUUUCUAAGUACCAAAACUCAAGCAACACAGAGAGCUGACUGGGUAAGAAGAGAGGAAAAAAUCCUCCAGAAAUAGGAGCAGGACAUCAGAAAGCAAGUACAAAGCAGCGUGGGCAUAGACAAUGUUUGCACUGGAAGAAAAGCAUUUUAAGAUCUCCCUGCAUAGUUAUGCUGAACAUCCUGGUUACUGAUACAGGUCCUCAUCUGCAGCAGUGGUGUGUAGGCUGCUGCCAGAGGUUGGUCCAGUGUGGCAUGAUGGUCUGUGUGUUCUCCUUGCCAUGACUGCUGGACCUCAGCACCCUCCACACUCUCAGAAUGUGAUCAUCUUUCUUGUCAGAUAUUCUGGUACGCUUCUGUACUUGUGGCAGCAAAUAUUACAGCUCUUUGGUGGGUUCAUGGUGCUAACUGUUGUAUAAAGAUAUUUUAAUGCCUCACUCUGCCUAUGUAGAAUCACUACAUUGGAAAAGACGUUUGAGAUUAUCAAGUCCAACUGUACCUGUACACCACUAAAUCAUAUCCCUAAGCACUUCAUCUACCUGUCUUAAAUACCUCCAGGGAUGGUGUGUCAACCAUCUGCUUGGGCUGCCUGUUCCAGUGUCUGAUAACCCUUUCAGUGAAGAAAUUUUUCCUGAUGUCUAAUCUGAACCUCCCUGGCAUAGCUUGAGGCCAUUCCUUCUUGUCAUAUCACUUAUCACUUGGGAGAAGAGACCAAUACCCACCUUUCUACAACCUCCUUUCAGGUAGUUGUAGACAGUGAUAAGGGCUUCCCUCAGCCUUCUCUUCUCCAGGCUAAAAACCUCAGUUCCCUCCACCACUCCUCGUAAAACUUGUGCUCCAUCCCCUUCACCAGCUUCGUUGCUCUUCUCUGGGCAUGCUCCAGGACCUCAAUGUCUUUCUUGUAGUGAGAGGCCCCAAACUGAACACAGUAUUCGAGAUGUGGCCUCACCAAUGCCAAUUACAGGGGCAGAAUCACUUCCCUGGUCCUGCUGGCGGCUCUGUUUCUGAUAAAGGGCAAGAUGCUAUUGGCCUUCUUGGCCACCUGGGCACACUGCUGACUCAUAUUCACCUGGCUGUCAACCAACACCCCCAGGUCCUUCCCUGCCAGACAGCUUUCCAGCCUCUCGUCCCCAAGCCUGUAGUGCUGGAUGAGGUUGUUAUGUCCCAAACUAGCUAGCAGAUUGUCCGGUAGUGUGCUUGAAAUACAAUGGUACAAUAGAUGGAUCCAAACUAUAAUGCUCAAAGCUGUAGCUGUGAAACUAUGAUCUUGGUAAAUGCUCAUAAAUGUUUAAAUUAGAAGCCCAAAUUUUCCGUUCAUCUGCCAUGGAAUGUGUGACAUCAUCAAGAUUUUUUUUUCAUUUUUCCCCUCGUCAGAAACUGACACCUACACCAACAAAUUCAGUGGCUAAUUUUUACCACUAAGGCUGUACUAGAAGGGAAAAUUGUUGAAAGGUUGGAGAAUUACUAUGUUCAAAGUUUAGUUUGGGGAUUAUUUUACUCUAUAGUCUUCGGUUUGGCUGUUUGUAUUUAUAUUUCUCCCUGCGUGAGGACGCCUCUUCUGGAACAAACAAUUUGUUGUGUUGGUCUUUCUUCCUUACUUAAUUGGCAAAAUGUAUUGCCUUUAUAUUUUUAUAAUUUAAUACCUCCUGAGCACAUCGAUGUAUCUAAAUAAACAGAGAGUCUGGAAAAAUUGUUUUUCAUUUGGUGCAGUAGUAGUAGUCGUGAGGUUUGUGAUAUUAUUCACCUAAACAUAAGCAGGUGAAGGACUGACUCUGUGGGUAAAUAGGUAAGAAAUCACCAUGAUAUUCAGUUUCUGGAGAAACUGAAGUAUUUACUCAUGUUUAAUGGCCUUGUGUUUAUCCAACCAUCCUAAUGAGUAAGAAAAAUUGUUACAGGAAGCAAAAUUCUUGACUAACCUAUUUACUGACAUUAACUUUUCCCCCUAUCAAGAUGGGCAGCAGAAAGUAAACCAAGCAGUGCACAAGUACUUUUGUGCUGUUUGGCUGACUCUUUGAAGUGACGUAAGUGGACUUUGUCCAAUUCAGUGUAAUUCUGCUCAGUUUUAUGCUUGUAGACCACAAAUUUGCCCCAUGUAUAUCUAAAACACUCACAUAAACAGCUGAGGACGGAUAAGGAAAGGUAACUGAUCAUCAGUGUGUUUCACGAACAUAUUUUCUAGGACCAAAAGAAAUACAAUACUGUAAGCAGGUCAGCUUCCUUCCAUAUCUGCUAGGCUGCUUUUCAAAAUACUGUCAGCCUGAAAAUGAUUGUUGCAAAGCCCCGUGUUCUGCCUAUUGAAGCUUUACACCCUCAUUGUUUGAGAGCCUAAGUCAAAUUUGCAUUAAUUUAUUGCAUUUAAGAAACACACAGAUGACCCGCUGGAUGACUAGACUACCACCACACAUACACAUAUUCCUGCAGUUUAAUCAAGGAACAGAAAGUUCAGGAGAAUAAUGGUUAAGGUAAGAAAGUCGUAAGUAUUUGGAAUUAUUAACAACAUAAGUUGUUAAGAAGUCUCAUGUGUUCUAUAUGGCAAUAUAUGGAAGAAAUAUAACUGAUCUGUGAAGGGACUAAAAUUGCAUCUCUUCUUCAAAGGAUAUACUUUUCUGAAUGUUUUAAAAUGAACAGGGGAGUAAAGCAAUACUGUGAAGUGUCAAAGAAUACAAGGAGAGACCAAAACCCAUGAAAAGAAUAGAACAGUGUUUCUCAGUAUGUCUUAAUGCUUGUAGCAAAAUAUUAAUGACUCUGCUAGUGACCAAUUUUGCAUGGCUUUUCUAGGAAGCUAAUAUGAUUUGAAUCAUGAACCUGAUGCAAGCAGGUUUUGGUUUCAGAACAAAUACAUAAAAUUAAUUUGUAGAAAGCAUAUAUGUGGUAAAAAUUACAUGCUCUAGAUUAAUGCCCUUUUAAAAAGGCCAUGAUAGUAUAUCCCUAAUAAAUGUUCUUGGUUUUAUGAAUCCUGUGUUUGAUUCAGGAUUUCAAAGUGAUCUUUACUUUGAAAAUUUGGUGUGGUACUACACUGUCUCACAUUACAUCCUUAGCAUGCAAGUAUCAGCUGCAUAUGUUAUUGUACAAGCACUUUUUGUCACAUAUUCAGAACAUGAAGGCAAAAAAUUACUUCCUUCAACAGGAAAUGGGUCUUACUACCCUCAUGCGGCUAGUGGUAAAGAAAAAAAAAAAAAAAAGGCCAAGGCCUUUGAAAGUUUGCACUUCAGCAUUUAAUCCAACAUAACUACUAGGAACAGGCACACAAAAACAUAGGUUGCACAUUUUUCUCAUUGUGAAACUUUCAUCUUGCCUUUAAAAGAGCUGUGACUCAUCAUACCCCAGUACUUGACUAGAUGACUCAGAGGUCUUUUACUGUCUGACUAUUUCUGGGCUUUUCUAAAUCUGAGGAGGUAUUUUAGUUCUUCUGUUUAGAGAAAAGAAGGAAAUUAUGCUUCCAUUUUUUCAUCCUGUGUUUUUUAUGAUUGGUCUAUUGUUAUUCCAUAAUUUUCUCAGAGGCAUAGGAUUACUUGCAUGGAGAUCAAUGUUCUUCAUAAAAAUCCAGCAUGAGAUGUGUUUACAUAGCUUUUGAUUACUAUAUUUGAGAAAUUAGCUAAAUGCAGAGUUACUCUGCCCUCAUACUUUUUCAGAGAGUACUUCUAUUGUAAGUUCAAGGCUUUUUUUUGUUUGUUCAUUUUUAUCUUUAUAAAAACUCCCACACAUUGCAUGCUUCGCACAGAUAUCUGCAGUUGUCACCUGUCUCAUGGGAUUUUAGCUGUACAUGAAUUCCAAAGACAGAAGUUUUGCACGGCUUCCUGUGAAAGUGUGCAAAAUGCAUGAAAAUCAAUACAAAUAUGAUUGGACUGUUUGGAGAUUAGCUAAUGUCACUCAUCAGGCUGGACAUUAGGAAAUUUUUUUUCCACACAAAGGGUCUCUGGGCACUGGAACAGGCUGCCCAGGGAGGUGGUUGAGUCACCAACCCUUCAGGUAUUUAAAAGACAGGUGGAUGAGAUGCUCAGGGGCAUGGUUUAGUGGUUGAUAGGAAUGGUUGGACUUGAUGAUCCUGGAGGUCUUUUCCAACCUAGUGAUUCUGUGAUUCUGUGAUCACUUGUUUUAUACAGGGGCUCCUGGCUCUAUCCAUCACUACUUUUUAGCAGCUAUAAUAAUAAUGCAACAUGGAUGAGCUUGUGCAAUCUCUAUUUUUUUUCCAUGGGUUGCAUAUUUUCAUAAUUCUCCUCUGAUAGCUGGUGAUUGAAAACUUUUUUAGCCCUGUGAGUUCGCUAUUGACCUUCCAACUUGAAGCUUCUAAGUGGAACUAUCACCAUCUAGUGUAACAAGGUGUCAGCAUUGCAUGUAGGACCAUUUACUCACCACAGAUGUCUUUGCCUGGAAUUUCAUCUGUAGUAUGCUGCCAGUUGUCCACACUCAUUACCCGAACUGGGCAUGUUAAGUAAUGCAUAUAGUAUAUGCAGGUGCAUGUGGUAUGCACGUGACAGUGUAUGUAGGACAGAUACCAGGUAUGUGACCUGACUUUACUGGGAAAACUUAGUCGUGUUCUCCAUUCCUGUCCCUUCCUCCCUCCCAGACAUUCUUGCUACAGUCAAGAGACAGUAAAGACAUUUGGGUUUGCCUUUAAAAACAUGUGGUGGGGACAAAUAGAGGGAGGGAGUCUUUCUCAAAUAGCCUGUCCUUUCAAGAGAAGGCCACAGACACAAAACCACUUUGCUACCUUGCCCAAAAUGGACUAUUGAACUCGACUAGAUAUAUGGUUUGAGGUUUAGAAACUUGUUUAUUUCUCUCUGUAAAUACUGGUGCUAGGACACUAUCACUAUACUCUGGUGUUUAGUCUCCAGCUUGCUGACAGACACAGUGGACAAGUGUUGCUCAAAUACAUCUUGUUCAGCACAAUUCCACCAAAUACCAACCAGACAUGGUGGAAGUGGUUCAACAUCUGCUCAAGUUGUUCACACAUGUCAAAAUAAAAUAAAAUAAAAUAAAAUAAAAUAAAAUAAAAUAAAAUAAAAUUAAAAAAACCAAAAAAACCAAAACCAAUCAACGUGCUUGGUUGGUAAAAUGACUUGAGAAAGCAUCAUUGCUGGUGCCCCAGCUAUCAGGAGCUCUCUCCUGUGGCACAGGUAUUUCACAUGGCCCCAGACACUAGUCUGCACUGGUUAAGAAAGGCACUGAUGGUUUCAUGUACACCGGGCUUUUAUGAUUUCUGCCAAGGAAGGAGAAAGCACAGUGUAUUGAAGAGAAUAAAGUGGUAAGCCUGAUAAUAAGAAGAAAGGCUUGUAAAACCAAGGUACAUGGCUUAGUGAAAAUCUUCCAUCAUCCAGGAAGUUACCCCAACUUAAUCUGCCAUCAAGACGGAGUUAGUCUUGCCUCAUGGUCGUUCACUAAGUCUGACUCCAGAUGCCUCUGUGAGCAGUGGCAAGAUAUUGUAUCUAGGCAGCUAGAACAUGGCCCAAAGGCUUUGCCAUCACUCUCUAGGGCUACCAUGCAACUCUAUCUUACACUUAAAUAAUAAAUUCUUUGACAUAAAGACACCUAAAAUUGAGUGAGAUGGAUUCCUCCACAAAUAAUUUGGUCCAAUGUCGGUUAUGGGCAAAUAGUGCCUGCCUGCUUCCAUGGAUUACCACAGCACUGUACAAUUAACCUAAUUUCUUCCAAUGUUAGUGAAGUGUUAGACUGUGGGAGUUAGCGUUGCACAUCUGAUCCUCUGACUAUAAUUCAUAUAGCAACUGGUACAGUGAAACAUUUAAUUUGAAAAGGAAGUGAUACAUAACAUUACAUUUAAAGCAAAUAUUUAACCUGAAUGAAGGAAGAAAGUUGUCAUUUUAGCUGAAUUAAAAUCACAGGGUUUCCCAAGAAAUAUCUAUGCUUUGAUGGAGUUUCCUUUGAAAUCCAACCCAGUUCACACUUCUCCUGGCUACAGUCAUCAUAUGGCAAUGAAGCCAUAGUUGAACUGUUCACACGACACACUCUGUGAAACACAUUGCCUUGCUACAGAAAGAUUUACACCCACACUGCAAGACUGCUACUUUAGCCUGCUGAGAUCCUCGCUCCAACAGCUGAUUGUCCAAAUAGCUUGUUCAAGCUCAUCCAUGGUCUUCUAGGCUACAAAUCGUAGCUACAAAUGCACUCACAGUCUAAAGAAUGUCCAGCAGUAAAAUUAAUUUCAGUAAAAUUACUAGUUGUACUUAACAGCACCUGCAUUCUAGUUGCAUUUAAAUAAACAUAAUCCUGUCUGACUUUUGGGGCAGGCUUUCACAUAAUUUGUAAUGAUAGAUUCUUAUCAAGAACAGAACCAAACUCGGUUGCAUAUCCUCCCUCUUCCCAAGAAAGGUCAUUACUGUGAAUUGUUGAGUCUCAGGCUCAAAUCCAGCAGAGCACUUAAAUCAAUUUAAUGUGCAUUCUGUGACAGUACUCAUAUGGUUAAAAAUGGAUUUUGAUGGCUGCUUGAAAGGACACCAAGUCCUUAACAUGCUGUGCAAUAAUAUAAAAUACUUCAAACAUCUUGCAUUUAAGCUUCUCGGGUCUUCUAUCUCAGUGACAGUGCUCAAUGCUCAAUAACUACACUCAGCAGUAUUUUUUAUAUAUUAAAGUCUGCUUUUAGGUUUUGCAGUCUAGAUCAUUCCACAAUCACAGAGAAAGGGACCUAGUGUUCAGCUUCCAAGAACAAUACCUCCACUAACAGAAGUGACAAAUAAGACAGAAAGAGUCAAAGAAUGUGUAUUUUCGGUGCAUGUCUGGUAUUUGAAGUACCAUUCUCUGCUGGAUGCCACUACCAGUUAAUUUUCAGAAAUCAUUUUCACAAAAAUGCAUGUUUAAAGUAUGGGGAUAAGAAAUAACAUGGUGUGAUGUAUAGAAGAAGUUGUUGUAAGACAUGCAAACUCAGCACCAA